GGGACACGUGAAACCCUGUGGGAAGCAGGAGGGACCACCCUCCAAGGCUAAAUACUACCUAGUGACCGAUAGCGUAUAGUACCGUGAGGGAAAGGUGAAAAGAACCCCGGGAGGGGAGUGAAAUAGAACCUGAAACCCUGCACUUACAAGCUGUGGAAGCACAUUUCUUGUGUGACCGCGUACUUUUUGUAGAACGGGCCAACGAGUUACGUUAAGUAGCAAGGUUAAGCACUUAAGGUGCGGAGCCGUAGCGAAAGCGAGUUUUAACUGAGCGUUCAGUUACUUGACGUAGACCCGAAACCGGGCGACCUACCCAUGAGCAGGAUGAAGCGAAAGUAAAAUUUCGUGGAGGUCCGAACCCACGAGCGUUGAAAAGCUCGGGGAUGACUUGUGGGUAGCGGUGAAAUUCCAAUCGAGCCCGGAGAUAGCUGGUUCUCCCCGAAAUAGCUUUAGGGCUAGCCUCAAGGUGAGAGAUACGGAGGUAGAGCACUGAAUGUCCUAGGGGGUAUUGCACCUACCGAAGACUAUCAAACUCCGAAUGCCGUCAUCUUAUACUUGGGAGUCAGACUGUGGGUGAUAAGAUUCAUAGUCGAAAGGGCAACAGCCCAGAUCGUCAGCUAAGGUCCCUAAAUGUAAGUUAAGUGGUAAAGGAUGUGGGAUUGCACAGACAACCAGGAUGUUGGCUUAGAAGCAGCCACUCAUUCAAAGAGUGCGUAAUAGCUCACUGGUCGAGUGAUCCUGCGCCGAAGAUUUCCGGGGCUAAAACUUACUACCGAAGCUACGGCAUCAGUAAUGAUGGGUAGGGGAGCUUCCCAUACGGGUUGAAGCAUGACCGUAAGGACAUGUGGACAGUAUGGGAGUGAGAAUGUUGGCAUGAGUAGCGAGAUGUGGGUGAGAAUCCCACAGGCCGUAAACCCAAGGUUUCCAGGGGAAGGUUCGUCCGCCCUGGGUUAGUCGGGACCUAAGCUGAGGCCGAAAGGCGUAGGUGAUGGACAACAGGUUGAUAUUCCUGUACUACCGAUAACCGUUUGAGAGAAGGGAUGACACAGUAGGAUAAGCUAAGCACACUGUUGGUUAUGUGUGCCCAAGCAUUGAGGCAGUCAAAGUAGGCAAAUCCGCUUUGAUAAUGCUGGGAUGUGAUGGGGAGCGAAAUUUAGUAGCGAAGUAGCUGAUUUCACACUGUCAAGAAAAGUCUCUAUCGAGGUUAAAGGUACCCGUACCGCAAACCGACACAGGUGGGUGAGGAGAGUAUCCUAAGGCCAGCGAGAGAACUGUUGUUAAGGAACUCGGCAAAAUGACCCCGUAACUUAGGGAUAAGGGGUGCCACCAUCAGGUGGCCGCAGAGAAUAGGCCCAAGCGACUGUUUACCAAAAACAUAGGUUUCUGCUAAGUCGCAAGACGAUGUAUAGGAGCUGACGCCUGCCCGGUGCUGGAAGGUUAAGGGGAUCUGUUAGAGCAAUCGAAGCAGUGAACUUAAGCCCCAGUAAACGGCGGCCGUAACUAUAACGGUCCUAAGGUAGCGAAAUUCCUUGUCGGGUAAGUUCCGACCCGCACGAAAGGCGUAACGAUUUGGGCACUGUCUCAACAACAGACUCGGUGAAAUUGUAAUUCCGGUGAAGAUGCCGGAUACCUGCGACAGGACGGAAAGACCCCAUGGAGCUUUACUGUAGCUUGACAUUGGGUCUUGGUACUACAU
RNAcentral lists this ribosomal RNA (1696 nucleotides) under Clostridioides difficile. Its description in RNAcentral is "partial 23S ribosomal RNA". It matches the Rfam family "Bacterial large subunit ribosomal RNA", at positions 419 to 2135 of the family's 2925-position model. Lineage: Bacteria; Bacillati; Bacillota; Clostridia; Peptostreptococcales; Peptostreptococcaceae. The record is from RNAcentral.